RNAcentral lists this ribosomal RNA (305 nucleotides) under uncultured bacterium. Its description in RNAcentral is "bacterial SSU rRNA". It matches the Rfam family "Bacterial small subunit ribosomal RNA", at positions 333 to 655 of the family's 1533-position model. The record is from RNAcentral.
CUGUUCCUACGGGAGGCAGCAGUCGGGAAUAUUGCGCAAUGGAGGAAACUCUGACGCAGUGACGCCGCGUAUAGGAAGAAGGUCUUCGGAUUGUAAACUAUUGUCAUUAGGGAAGAGAAAGGACAGUACCUAAAGAGGAAGCUCCGGCUAACUACGUGCCAGCAGCCGCGGUAAUACGGAGGAUGCGAGCGUUAUCCGGAUUUAUUGGGUUUAAAGGGUGCGUAGGCGGUCCGUUAAGUCAGCGGUAAAAUUGCGGGGCUCAACCCCGUCGAGCCGUUGAAACUGGCAGACUUGAGUUGGCGAGA